Long non-coding RNA from Phacochoerus africanus (Common warthog), 8318 nucleotides. RefSeq lists it as uncharacterized. The transcript is spliced from 3 exons. The record is from RefSeq and is a predicted model, not a curated record. Lineage: Eukaryota; Metazoa; Chordata; Mammalia; Artiodactyla; Suidae.
CAGCCACCAGCCAUGGGUGCCAGAGUUUGCAGCCUGUUGAAGGAAAUCAACACCAAGAACUUCCCAGACACUCCAGGAAGAUGUGAACUCAUUGCGACCCGCACCACCUCCACCAGACAGUCGUUGAGUGCUCUCUGGUGUGUUCAACUCAGAAUAGAUCCUUCCUGCCCCCCAUCGCUGGAAUGUGGGGGUUGUUGUGUGAGAAAGACACCACUGUGGGAGUGAAAAAACACGGAACUUGGAAUGAACUGUCGAGAGAGCAAAUCCUAGCUCUGCUACAGACCCACUGUAUGACCACAGGUGAAUUGACUUGUCCUCUCUGAGCCUCAGUUACCUUAUGCAAAAUGGAGAUUAACAAUACAACCCUCUUGCCCAGAGGCAAGAGAGAAUCACUACACUGGACAACUAUGGGGCCGGGGUUGCUGUUCAAAUAUAAGUCUCUGCAGCAGCUGCUGGUGGCCUAGGAUUAAAUGAGACCACUUUUGCCAUGUGACCUGAAGUUAAUAGUCAAUAAAUGGUAGCUAUUGUUAUGUACAAGUUAGAGGGAAGCAGGGUUCACUGCCAGCCAGCUGGCUGCACAGGCUUUGUUCUUCAAGGAAGGGCAGGGCACUGAGAAGUAGAUUGAUGCAAGCAAAUGCCAGGAGGCAGCAACUCCCAGGGCAGGUCUUGGAGAAAUGAAGCUGGUGAGGGAAGUGGCAAGGAAUUAUCUAGGAAAAGAGAAGCCACUGGAAGCUGGGUAUGGAGCAGGGAUGAAUGAGAGGAGAAUAUUUUAAUUAUCGAGGUGUGAGAAUCCGAAAGAAUAUUGUGCCAGGCCAACAGAGGCCAGGGAGGGAAAGUAGUGAGUCUCCGAGGUCUCACAGCAAGGGCCAAGUUCAGGACUCCUGCCUGUGCAGAAUCCAGCUCAAAUGAUUCCUCCAGCCCAGUUUGUAGUUCCACAAAAGGAAGUCCCUGGCACUUUUCAUAUAUACCUAUACAUAUAUAAUUUUUCUAACUGUAAAAGUAGUUACAGCAUUAUUAAGUUAUAGAAAUAAAAAGAAGAAAAUAUUAUCACCUAUGGGCCUACCAACCAAAGAUAUCACCAUUAGUAUUCUGAUGCAUUUCUUCCAGUAGGUGUCCCACAUAUAAAAUUAUAUAUUCAUUAGAUUGUAAUUGUAUUGUGUACAGUUUCAUGUCCCACCUUUUCUCUGUAAAUUGAGAGUAUUUUAUGAGGGGGGGGGGACUUUUUUAUGCAAAAGAAUCUAGAGAACCUUUUUCUUAGGAAAAAAAAGUGCGAAGCCCCAACCUGCAGUGGUUAGGAGGACAUCCUGCGGGUUACAGGGUGGCUGUGUCUCACGUCCGGUAUGAGCUCCAGCAGUGGCUCAGAGAAAGACAAGCCCUUCUCUACUGUCCUGGCCGGGCUGCAGCCUCCUGCCUGUCAACAAGGCAGAGUUGAUGAAUCUGCACUCACCCUUCCUUUCCUGACACAGGAUGUGUGAUCAUCCACUCCAAACAGAAGGCUGUGGGGUUGUGAUCAUUAUUUUACUGGUUAAUAACAACAGCAUCUCAGUCUGUGCAGCACAGCCUUUUCUCAUGUGUUGUCUUACCCAAGAUACACACCCCGCGAGGCAAGUAAGACAGAAGCUGUUAUUACCCAUUGUACAGAUGAAGAAACAGUUGAUAAGAGGUUUAGUGUCUUAUUUGAGGCCAUGCAACCAGUAAGUGACAGAGCAGGGAUUUUAUGAAGAUCUUGCUGACAUCCACUCUAAUGAUUUUUUUUUCCUCUAAACUUUUCUUUCUAGUUUUAGCUUUUCCUAAGCUAAACAGAAUCCCUUUAGUGAGGCCAAAGAUGAGAGCUGAGUAUUAUGGGCAUGUGGAAAGGACACGGUACGCCACCCUGGAGUCUUAAGGCAAGUCCUGCUGGCUCUGGCUGGGUGUGCUGGGUGGCCUGACCUCAGGUCAGCUCUUCCAGGAUAGCUCAGAGCUAGCAUUAUUGGAAUUUUGGGUAGUGAGUUCAAGGAGGCAGCUGUUUCCAGCAGAGGCCCUCUUCUUCAGGCAUCCUUCUUGACCCACCCAAGCUGUGAAGGUUCAUUCCCCGCCCAGGGCUCCAGAGUCACAGUGCAUCCCAGAACAGAACAGGGUCUUUACAGAGGGACUGUGGUUCUCUGUGAGACUGACUGUAACUAAUGGAUUUUUGUAUCCCUCAGGUGGUUUCCCAGUAUUGCUGCUGUAACAAAUUAUCAUAAACUAAGUGGAUUAAAACAACACAAAGUUAUUAUCUUCUAGUUUUGUAGGUCAGAAAUCCCAAGUGGGUCUUAGUGAAUUAGCAGGCCUGCAUUCCUUUCUGGUGGCUGUAGUAGAGAAUCUGUUUCCUUGCUCUUUCCAGGUUUAGAGGCCACCUGCAUUCCUUGUUUUUGGCCUCUUCUUCCAUAUUCAAAACUAGCAACGGCUUCCAAGUAAUGCCAUCUCUCUGGUUCUGACUCUUCUACCUCCUUCUUUGUGUAAGGGCCCUUGUGAUUACAUUAGACCUAUCCAGAAAAUCCAGAAUAAUCUUUCGGAGCUGAUGAGCAACCUUAAUUCUCUAUUGCCAUGUAACAUAACAUAGUCACAGAUUCCAUGCUUUAGAAUGUGGACAUUUUUAUUCUACCAUGGACCACUAUUCCGCCUACUCUUCUGGGUUCCCCAAGGGCCACAUUCUCAGGCAUAGACAGCAGGCCAGGCCAAACAACAGAGUAUGGCCACCAUUGUUAGAGUGGUCUUUUGUGCCUGGGUCCCCUCCCACCUGCCCAGAGACCCUAGGGCUUCCAAGGACUGGGGCCAGAGCCUAGCCUCUGAGAACUAAAGAGCCUAGACCCUGAGAGCUAAAGGUAGCUCCAGUGCUGUGGGGACAGGCAGCCAAGUAUUGGAGCCCUUCUACCUCUGUAUCCCUGUCUGCCCCUGGCAGCCAGUUUCCCUGGCUCCUCUCCUCAAUAUGACUGCCUUACUCAUUCCCAUCCCUGAUCCUUUCCCUGGGCCUCAGGCUGGAACUUUGUAGGGGCCUGAGGGAGCAGGAGGCCCCCUGUGGAGCCUCUGUCCCUGGGAUGCCUGCUGAGGUCCUGAGGAAUCUAAGAUCCAGCAGGAGGGCCUGUGCACAGUGCAAGGAAGAAGGGGCCAUACAAGGCCUUUGCCCAGGACUUUCUCAGUUUGCAUGCUCAAAGUCCCAUAUCCCAGGAAACACCUCAGUCCCGAGCAAACUGGGCAGUUGGUCAUCUUGCCUCCAAGGCCCUUUGCCCCUCCUAAUCGACUCUAGAUUACCUUGACAGCCUGGAAGUCCACCCUUUUGGACUCUCGGAUGCCAAACUCUGCACUGUAUCUGGGAGCAGAGAGACCUGGGGCCUGAGGAAGGGCCCCAGGUGAGUACCAGGAAAGUAGAUUCCUGCUUGCAGUGCUCCUAGAAGAGGCAUCACUCCUGGGACCAUGCCUGGGUCUGCAUGGGACAGAGCUCCUCAAUACAUGCACAGGGGAGUGAAAAAUUGUGUUUGCACCCAGUCUCUAAACAUUUAACAGCCUGAUUGCUUCUGGGUGGUAUAGUGCGGGUGGCUUUAAUUAGUGUUUCUAUUUACUCAUUUAUAUUUCUUACUCUAUACAAUUAAACAUGUUCCUUUUUACUUGUGUACAUUUUUAAUAAAGUAAUUAAUGACUUAGCCAGAAGUCCUGCUGAGGGACAUGGAUGGGUUGUGCUGCAUGUCAUAGGACCCAGUGGCCCUUGUUCUGGGGCCUUUGGCUACUGGUUGAUCGUGGCGCAUUCCGCCCAAGGCUCUACUGCAGGGGCAGAGCUAGUUAGCACUCUGUGCCCUCUCUGCCAUUUAGCCUGCUUCCUGCACCUCAGAGUCCAUCCUGGCUUGUCCCCAAGGAAGGACUCAGAGAAUCAGGUGGACAUUGGACAGAGCAGGUGAGCAGAGAUAAACUGCAGGGCUUUGCCAACACAGAAUUUUGCAGGAGGUGCUCUCAUGCACAGAUCCUGCCUGUGCAGGACCUCCUCCUGUGAGAAUAUGCAGAUAAGCUGCUGGUCCCUUGAGAGCUUGCCAUCUGGCCAGAGGGGGUUGGGCACAUGGGGAAUAGCAGGCAGGAAGGGGACUGGUGAGGUUUUCACCUAAGUGAGCUGUCAGAUAUGGGAGGGUCCCAAGGCCACACUGCAUGUGUCUCAGUCCAGCCAGAAACCCAAAUGGGGGGUCUGCCCGAGUAUCCCGAGGCAGGCCUCCCAAGUGCGGACAGAUGUUCUUCUGGGAGGAAGACUCUGGCUGCUUCCAGGUCAUGACAGAAGGGUGGUGAGGACUGGUCACCAUGCUGUUCUGAGUCCUAGGUGGCUGGACACCCUUCAGGUCCUCCUCCUGCCACAUCCCAUUCCCAUACACCUAGAAGCUCAGCCCUUACCCUGGCAAGCCCAGAAGGGACCCUGAGAAGGGAGCCCCGAGUUCCGCACAGAGGCAACCACCCUUCACCUCCACGCCUCAAUUCACCCUCACCGUUGUGAUGAAAGGGUGAUGAAAGGACUUCUUGACUUGUUCUGUUUUAAGGAAAGUAAUUGCUUUUCUGGCCUAACAACUCCCCCCAUCUCUAUUCACCCCAGAUCCCCAAACACCAACUCCAUGUUCACAUAACCACACAUAUUCCUCUUUCCAUGAAGUCAGCUUUCUCGGAGAAGCUUGUGCACAGUUCCCCCCACCCCCACCCCAGGACUCAUGUGGCCUGAGCCACUUAUUUUGCUCCUAAACUGUGAUCCCAAGUAUAACUCUUCACUUGUCUGAGCAAAGGUGUGGCUGAAUAUUUUUAACUGCUGUGGAAGACCUCACUGCACCUGCCUUAAUUCUAGGCAGAUUCAGGAUUGACAGUGUGAGGCAGAAGUUGGUAGUAAACCAGAUACCUCACAUCCCCUGGCUGUUAAGGAAAAAGGGAGGGCAGAAACAGAAGGACCCAGGCCAAUCUAUGGCAUAAGGAUAGCAAUGAAAGUGAGAGGCACCCAGGCUGGGGAGGCCUUCCCUGAAGGAAGCCUGCCAGUGUGGCUGAGAGCUCACCUGAUGUAGGGUAGCAAACAGCCAGCUCCCAGAAAUGCUGGGUUUUCUCAGAGACCAAGAAGCCAGGAUUAGACUCAGUACAGCCAGAGGGUGGCUCCAACCUUACACCUGAGAGUUGGGAGGCACCUUUGGUCCUGACCUGUACAGUCACCCAGAGUCUAGAUCUCUGAGGACCUCAAGACCCAACAAAGCGUCUAAUUUAAAGCAGAACAAGAGAGAUCCAGUUGCUUUGCUCAGGCAGAAACGCAGUUGAAAAGUCCUCUUUGAUCCCUGAGAUAAGACCUGGCAGGCCAGAGUCCCCUGGAGCUGGAAGCUGGUUCAUAAACAGACUUGCGUGCUUCAGCUGCCCCCUGCACUGAGACCAAGUUACAGGCCUGUGUCCCACCCCCUGGGGGACACACCCUUCAAACUGCAAGUGGCCUCCAGGACAUUUGUGGGGCAUUGCUCCCCUUGAGGACCCUAGGACCUCUUUGGGACCCUAGGACCGUAGCCACAGAGCCACGUUGCCUGGAGUGGGGGCAGGGAACUGAGGGCACAGUGUCCAGAGCAGCUUUAGGGUUUGCUGCCUUCCCUCAGUGUCCCCAAAUGCUUUCUUUCUUUCUUUGCUUUUUCCUUCUUCUUUUUUCUUUUAUAAACCUUUGUGUUGAGAGCUGCUGACUCAAUAGAUUACAACAAAGUAGCUGCUCUGCUACCUGUGAAACCCUGACCCAGAAGCAGGUUGCCUACAAGUGGUUUAGCACCAGGUUCCCCAGGAGUAUGCAGGGCCCAAAUGCUUUUUUGGCUUGAGGUGCUAGCUGCCCCAGGCAAGUUCUUCCAAACUUCUUCCCGAGGCCUCAGUUUCCUCCUCUGUGGGCAGCCUGACAUUGUGGAACCAGUUUGGGUUCUGGGCACAGACAGAUGUGGGUUGGAAUUCAGGCCUCCUACUGAUUAGCUGAAUCAUCCUGGGCAAGCACCUUAUGCCAGUCGAGCUUUGGUUUCCGGAUCUGUGAACAGGGGCUGUGGUGUGGUGCCAGUGCCAUGGUGCACACAGGGUAAUUGGCACAGUGCCUGGUGCAGAGUGAGCACUUGAGGCUACGCUGUAAUUACGCAGCUGGACAGUGAGGUCCUUUCCUGUUCUGCUCCUUUCUGAGUUCGUGGAGCUGGAUCAGGGAUGAUACAAUGGAUAAAUAGCUGUCUCUUCCCUUGUACUUAGUCCCCAUGUCUUUGCUUCAUUGCCUCCAAUAUUUUCCCAAUUAAAAUUAAACUCAGCAUAGAUUCCCUAGGCCUGCCUCACCCUUGAGCCUGCAGAAGUAGGGACUUCUUCUCAGCUCCCCAGCCCUAGGAUUUCAGCAGAAAUGGGUCUUGUGGGAACUCCCUAUAGCUAGGAAAACCAGGCGGCCAACAAGCUAUGUCCUUGUGCUGGCUUAGACUUGGCCUCACAAGGGAGCUCUGGCUGUCAAAGACAAGUCUCACCCUGCCCAGUACUCUGACUCCUGGAAAAGGGAGUAUAUGAGUUCUUUGAUCUCCUUGCAAGCCCCUGUGACUGCUGGCACAUGUGGGGAAAGGAUAGUGCAGAGUUCAGAUGAAUUUCACACAUCCUCAGGAUGAGGGUUAGUUGUGCCCAGAGUAAGAAAGGGCAUUACAUCUGACAGACAAAAGCUUCCUGGGUGUUCCAACAGGGCUGCUGAGGAGUCCUGUACCCUAGUAAUACAAGGAUUUUUGGAUAUGUGCAAACUGUGUGAAAGAAGACCAAAUGGUCCCAGAGGAUGACAGCCUGGGCGUGACCCAGCCCCACCAGCCAGUGGGCAUCACUCCCAGAGGAAAGGACUUCACCUCCAGCCAGGCCGGGACUCUUUCCAAGACUUUAGUUCUUUCUUUGGCAAUCCCAUCCAAGAUUUUUAGAGAUCUGAGAAAGCAUUAUCUUGCACACAGUGCACUGAGAGAUGUUGAAAACCGAUACAACCAAGAAGGGACGGUUUGCACCUGUCUUCCCUAAAGGUCUUCUGCCACAGUGAGCAUGGCCAUGAGCAUGAGUAUGGGCAACUGGCAUAUUAGCCUCUAGCUUUCUUGCUACUGGCAAGAGAGCUGACUGAAAAAUAACCAUCUAAAGUGACCCUUUUGGAGUGAGGCAAAGAAACUCCCUUUACUAACCGGAAAUGCCCCUGAACCUCUAUAGAUUUAGCAGGAGCUCUGGCUAGUGGGGCUGAGCCCCACAUUGCCAGUUUACCCCAUUGAAAAGUGGUCCUUCCUGACAGUGGUAUCAUCACAAUGCCAACAAUGAUCUUACAGUGAGCCGCUAGCUUCCUCAGCCAAGAGCUUCUACCAUUAGUGCUUAAACUGAAAUUCUUGGAAAUGUGCCACGGAAGCAUUGGCAGGUCCUUUGAAUGAACUUAAAUUAACUCAUCCAAAUUUGACACAGAUUAUGCUGAUAUUGCUCCAUUUCCAACACUGGCUAAUAAGUUUGUGUCAGCUGCCAUCAUCUAUAGGUGAGCAGUUGGAUUUUCUUCCUUCUCCUGUCAGGCGUGGGUUGAGGUCCACGGUGGGAUGUACUAGGACAGCUCACCAUCCUGGAAAGUCUGGCUCUAUCCCACACUACUCUUCCAGGUCUCUUCCCUAGGACCCAACUCCCUUGUGAUGGGAGGGGUAGAGUUUUGGGGUCCCCCCCUGGGCAUUACAAGGAGUUGUUUAGGGUGCCUAGAGUAAGAGCUGGAGACCAGACCUCCAUCUUGGUUCUGGAGAUUGGAAGCUCACUGAUGGAGUGCCUCUCCCAUUUUGGUAACUUAGAAGUGAUGAGCUUUGCAUAUUAGAACUUGAGAGAUUUCUGUACCUGCCUGGGACUUCAACAUAUCUAUUACCUACUCUGUCAGGAUUAGGUUGAAGGACAAGAAGAAAGGUCAGAAGCAGUCCCUGCUGUUCGGUCUGGGUUGCAUCCCUUCCCUCCCAUCCCUACCUGGCCACACCACUCCCAGCCAUCCUUAGCUAGAAAAGCCACCCACUAGAAGACCUUCUCAAGCCCCAUUAGGAGCUAUAAGAAGCUAGCCUCCCCAGUGUUGUUUUCCUCAAUAAGGGCUGUACCCUUCUCUCUCCCCUUCUGCCCCUAGGUGAUGCUAACUAACUCUUGAAAAGUCCAGGUGGAUCUUCUGAUGGGCAGGGCUUAAGAUUGGAGGCUACCCAGGCAUCCACAAGCAGAAUGUCCACCCAGCAGGAGGCCAUCUACCAUUCACACGGCACUUCCAGACCAGGGAACACUAUUUCCUGAACUUGGCAGAGAAUGUCUGACUAAACUUUGCCCAUUUUCCAGUUUUUUCA